This 229-nucleotide ribosomal RNA is filed under the name uncultured bacterium. RNAcentral's name for it is "partial 16S ribosomal RNA". It matches the Rfam family "Bacterial small subunit ribosomal RNA", at positions 568 to 796 of the family's 1533-position model. The record is from RNAcentral.
UACGUAGGCGGAAUAUUAAGUCAGUGGUGGAAUCCUGCAGCUUAACUGUAGAAUUGCCAUUGAUACUGAUCUUCUUGAAUUUAGUUGAGGUGGGCGGAAUGUGUAAUGUAGCGGUGAAAUGCUUAGAUAUUACACAGAACACCGAUUGCGAAGGCAGCUCACUAAACUAACAUUGACGCUAAGGUACGAAAGCGUGGGGAGCGAACAGGAUUAGAUACCCUGGUAGUCC